Molecule: long non-coding RNA, 720 nt
Filed under: Sus scrofa (pig)
Lineage: Eukaryota; Metazoa; Chordata; Mammalia; Artiodactyla; Suidae
Description: lncRNA (ENSSSCG00030060490.1)
Source: RNAcentral
GGGAGUCUCCUAUCUUCUGCCAGUACCAAGCGCUCGCAAGUAAGGUAAACUCUCAGCCCUUCCAUGCUCUCGACACCCAUGAACCAGAUCAGAUUAAAUACAGAAAAUCCCAUCAACGUUGGCCUACCUUUUCGAGUCACUCAACCUGAUCUGAAGCAGCAGCUUGGCUUCUAGAAUUGGUUCCUGGUCUGGUCCUUAGUUCAACAUGUUCUGAACAGAAGCCUGUUGUCGCACGCGAAAUUAUCAAGCAGCACCGAUAACCUCCGAGGACCCGGCAGCCGCAGGGCGGGAAGGCUCACGCAGCGAGUCAAGGAGCUGGAGCCACGGAGUCUUGGGAAUCAACGGCCAACCCGUGGUGACAAACGAGGGAUGGAGGGGCAGGUGACCAGCUCCCGCCCUGUCUGCUGUUAACACCCUACGUGCAUGUCGCCUGCGUCUCCGUUCCUGAGUCUGCGCACGUCUGGACCUGACACCGUCUCCCUCCCACCCAGGGAGGGUAUUCCUCUUGUGUCCUUAGCACCCAGAGCAGGUUGGACUAGUCUCCACUGCCCUUUGGGAAUCUGCAUUUAUCAGCGAUCUUCGACUGCAGGCCGUGUAGAGAGCUGUGCUCCCUCCUGGCUCCUCGGCCACACAGUCAUUUCUCACUCUGCAUCCACCAGAAGACCCCUGACUGGCCCCACAAACGUGACUCCUCCCAGGAGAGACUUCCGGAACUUUCAU